ACUCAAAUGAAUUGACGGGGGCCCGCACAAGCGGUGGAGCAUGUGGUUUAAUUCGACGCAACGCGAAGAACCUUACCAGGGCUUGACAUCCUGUGACAUCCUAGGAGACUAGGUUUUCUAGCAAUAGAACGCAGAGACAGGUGCUGCAUGGCUGUCGUCAGCUCGUGCCGUGAGGUGUUGGGUUAAGUCCCGCAACGAGCGCAACCCUUGCCGUGUGUUGGUCGCAAGAUCUCUCACGCGGGACCGCCGGUGACAAGCCGGAGGAAGGUGGGGAUGACGUCAAGUCAGCAUGGCCCUUACGUCCUGGGCUACACACGUGCUACAAUGGAACGGACAACGAGUCGCUAACCCGCGAGGGCAUGCUAAUCUCAUAAACCGUUUCUCAGUUCGGAUUGGAGGCUGCAACUCGCCUCCAUGAAGUCGGAAUCGCUAGUAACCGCAGAUCAGCUACGCUGCGGUGAAUACGUUCCCGGGCCUUGUACACACCGCCCGU
This 493-nucleotide ribosomal RNA is filed under the name uncultured bacterium. Its description in RNAcentral is "partial 16S ribosomal RNA". It matches the Rfam family "Bacterial small subunit ribosomal RNA", at positions 899 to 1397 of the family's 1533-position model. The record is from RNAcentral.